RNAcentral lists this ribosomal RNA (382 nucleotides) under uncultured bacterium. Its description in RNAcentral is "bacterial SSU rRNA". It matches the Rfam family "Bacterial small subunit ribosomal RNA", at positions 30 to 412 of the family's 1533-position model. The record is from RNAcentral.
AUUGAACGCUGGCGGCAUGCCUUACACAUGCAAGUCGAACGGCAGCACGGGAGCAAUCCUGGUGGCGAGUGGCGAACGGGUGAGUAAUAUAUCGGAACGUGCCCAGUCGUGGGGGAUAACGUAGCGAAAGCUACGCUAAUACCGCAUACGAUCUAUGGAUGAAAGCGGGGGAUCGCAAGACCUCGCGCGAUUGGAGCGGCUGAUAUCAGAUUAGGUAGUUGGUGAGGUAAAGGCUCACCAAGCCGACGAUCUGUAGCUGGCCUGAGAGGACGGACCAGCCACACUGGGACUGAGACACGGCCCAGACUCCUACGGGAGGCAGCAGUGGGGAAUUUUGGACAAUGGGCGCAAGCCUGAUCCAGCAAUGCCGCGUCGCGAGGAU